This is a long non-coding RNA of Bos taurus (domestic cattle), 1405 nucleotides long. The record is from Ensembl. Lineage: Eukaryota; Metazoa; Chordata; Mammalia; Artiodactyla; Bovidae.
GUAAGUGCUCCCAGCUGUGUGCUAUGGUCCUCUUAAGUGGUGUCGUUAACUAUUUUGGAAGCGCUCUUCCGUGAGCCCCUCGAAUGAGGGCAAGGUCUUAGGCACCUGUGCAGCCGAGCUCAGAGACCCCCCCCCCCCAUAUGCCUUUCUGUGCUUUAUCUGGAACGAUCGAUACCCGAGGUCGGUUUUGGAAAGCGGCUUCCCGCGCUGAUCCGGUGCGGUGGGGACCUGAAGAUGCGCGGCAGCCUCCCGGACCACCGCGCGAUCCCUGGAAGGCCGGCGCGCCCAACCAGCCUCUUCCCCGACUUUCCCUCGCUGCUUGAGUUUUCUAGAGCCUCUUUCCCUUCCACUCUCAGUCUUCCCUUCCUUUCUAUGAGCUCUCGCGGGCUCCACAUUCAUUUUCUACUUUGAGUAGCCACGUCUCUUUCAACCCGCGCUCCCUCAACCCUUAAGUCAUCCAUUAAGUUCCUUUUUCACUUUUUUCUUCCAUCCCCCACGCCCUCGAUCUUUGGUUGCCAAUACUGAUCUUUCUUAGCUAGUGAUUGUAUUUCGCGUCUCUGCUCCUUAACCAAAGGCGCCCUAACCUCACGGCUCUCCAUGCCUCGGGUUUUCCCUCUUGGUCUCUCGCCUCCCAUCGUCAGGGCCAGACCUGAGCAGACACUUCACUGCCUGGCGAGCAAGACCGCUCCGCCACCUCCCAGCGGCGGGGCAGGAGCAAGUUAACAUCUUGAAAAGAUGGAAAAAUCUGCAGCGCCCCCUUAGGAGCAGCUUCCGGCAUCGGCCCUUAACCCUGGCCCGGGAAGGGAGCAGAGACAAAAAUACCCAGCAAUGUUUCUUUGGCUGCGCUGUCGACUUUCGCCUCCUAAUCUCGGUUAAAUCAACUCGGGAUCACUGAUGCAGCAUCUGAGCUCAUCAACAUGUCUUUGAGAACGAUCCCUCCGCCAGCCUUUGGGACUUCACUCGGGUUCAAGGAUCACCUUUUUCAAAUUCACCUUGACUGCAAUCUAGAGACUUGCAGACAGCAGCCCACCAGGCUCCUGCGUCCCUGGGAUUCUCCAAGCAAGAACACUGGAGUGGGUUGCCAUGUCCUUCUCCAGUGCAUGAAAGUGAAGAGUGAAAGUGAAGUCGCUCAGUUGUGUCCGACUCUUAGCGACUCCAUGGACUGCAGCCUACCAGGCUCCUCCGUCCAUGGGAUUUUCCAGGCAAGAGCACUGGAGUGGGGUGCCAUCGCCUUCUCCAUCUGUGCACCUAGGGCAAAGUAUUUACUUCUGUGAGCCUCAGUGUCCUUAUCUAUAUAGGAGGAAAAUCAAUUUAACCUGAGCUUCCUACCUUAUAGGUUGUUAUGAAAAUCAUAUGUGAUCAUAUAUGUUUAUAUAUGUAUGUAUAUAUGUAUAUUUAAUAUAUG